CUAGAGAUAGAAAGUUACUUCGGUACAUCGGUGACAGGUGGUGCAUGGUUGUCGUCAGCUCGUGUCGUGAGAUGUUGGUUAAGUCCGCAACGAGCGCAACCCCUAUUGUUACGUUGCCAUCAUUCAGUUGGGCACUCUAGCGAGACUGCCGGUAAUAAACCGGAGGAAGGUGGGGAUGACGUCAAAUCAUCAUGCCCCUUAUGACCUGGGCUACACACGUGCUACAAUGGUUGGUACAACGAGUUGCGAGUCGGUGACGGCGAGCUAAUCUCUUAAAGCCAAUCUCAGUUCGGAUUGUAGGCUGCAACUCGCCUACAUGAAGUCGGAAUCGCUAGUAAUCGCGGAUCAGCACGCCGCGGUGAAUACGUUCCCGGGCCUU
Molecule: ribosomal RNA, 379 nt
Filed under: uncultured Streptococcus sp.
Lineage: Bacteria; Bacillati; Bacillota; Bacilli; Lactobacillales; Streptococcaceae
Description: bacterial SSU rRNA
Rfam family: Bacterial small subunit ribosomal RNA
Source: RNAcentral